Long non-coding RNA from Solanum pennellii, 1960 nucleotides. RefSeq lists it as uncharacterized. NCBI's taxonomy places the organism in Eukaryota, Viridiplantae, Streptophyta, Magnoliopsida, Solanales, Solanaceae. The record is from RefSeq and is a predicted model, not a curated record. The transcript has 5 exons.
GUUCAUUUGCUUAGAUCACUAUAAUUUCUCGGUGGGUAGGCCCCUAUGGAAAUAGUUGAAGCCUCAAGUUCACCUGAUGCUUAUACUUAAAAUCAACUAUAAUAGUACUAAAUAGAGAUAAAUAGACAUUUACUCUCAGUGGAUGUUCUUAGUGUUGGUGAUGAUAUUUUCUUCAGAAUAAUACUAGGAUUGCACAAGUAUAGUUGCAUACAUUUCAAACAGAGAAUGGUUGGCAAGUGCUAGAAUGAACUUCUAAUUUUAAUUGAAUUUAUGCUUUUAUAAAAAAUCAAAUUGAUGAAUAAAAUCAAUUUUUAACUGAAAAUUUCGUUGAUGAUUCGAUACGGGGGGAAAGGCUCGGACAUCUUUUGAACCUAGAAACACAAUUAUGGUUGCCAAACUCUGACAGUUCCGAGGAGAGAAUCAGGAGGCUUGGAUAGUUCAAGCUAUACAUUAUUUCGAUUUCUAUAAAAUUGAGGAAGAUCAAAAGCUUAAUGUGGUGUCGCUCUACCUUGAUGGUGAAGCAUUACAAUGGUACCCGUGGUUAUUUAGGAAUAAUCAAUCAAGUGAUUGGUUGAAUUUUGCUGAUAAGAUGAAAAUUUGAUUUAAACAGAAAUGAUAUGAGUCUGCGGCAGAGUGAAGCGCCAAUCUCGAACAGGUAACCUACGUGACUGAGUACCAAAAUCAUUGUGAGGAUAUUUUGUCGAGCUUUGGUGAGUCCGAUGUACUCUUCCCAGGCCACACAUAUGUUCAUCCAUGUUGGAGCAACAUAACCAACUCUCUUAUACCGUAAUAUCGUGACCAAUCAUAAUACAAAAGCAAUACAAAUGUGUGUAAGGUGUGUGAUUAGUUGUCCGAUAGGUACAAAGACUCAUAUUAUCUCUCAGUCUCGCUAUGUUCAGCAAGCUUAUUGAACUUUCCAUUCCAGAUGGGUAUGUCGAGUCAAGUACACGGUGUGCUAUUAUAUUUGUAUCUUUUACAAUAUCAGUAAUGUAGCAAGUUUCCGCAACAGGUAAAAUAAAUGUAUAUUUGCAACAAUCAAUGGAGUAUUAGUCAACACUUAUUUAUACAAUGAAUGUUGUUUUUACUACUGCGAGAUUUUUAUUUUUUCUUACUAGUUGGACUACCUGUGAAGCUACUAACUUAGUACAUUGAUACUCAAAGAGGUAAUACCUUGUUAAUGGUGAAUAAAUUCACCUGCAAUCAUUAGAAAAAUAGAAAUAUGACUCAUUUCAUAUCUUGAUCCAAAUUAUCUUGACCAAAGAUCAUAGUUUCAUCUACUUUUAUUGUUACCAGAUAUGCCGAAGCUGAAGCAUUACGAUAACUUACGCAACUCAUUUACUCAUCAUCUAGUUCACAAGGUUUGGCACAUUCUUCAUCAAGAAAUGAAUCAUUUGACAUCAUCAACUCCGCGAUCUGCGUUGACAUCGGUAUAUUGACAGUUGAUUUCGCUGCUAAAGAAUGAAAAUGAUAUUGUGUACUAACUCAAGGAAGAUGCGUGGCUAGCUGCUUAAACUUUUUUUGUUUAGGUAAAGUUUGACUAAUACAAGUAUUGUCAAGCAACCAGUCACCUGGCGCCUAUUCAGCAGGACUUGGAUUGGCAUUCUUUAGUAUCAACGAUUUUUACGAGUAAAGAAAAUGAAUAGCAUACCAGCUCAUAGUUGCAUAAGAAGUGGGCUAACAACCUUUAUCAAGGAGUUAUGCUUUCAUUACCCGUGCCUCUAAAGCCAGCUGAUGUUAGUGACAAUAAUUGUAGUGAAACUAGUUGAAGUUCCAUAAACCGAUCCUAUCUUGAGUUUGGGUGCUAUUGAUUUGAAGUUUAAGCAAGUUUUGUAGUGAUUUGAAGUUAAAGCAAAUUUUAUAGUGAUAUGAAGUUUCUUGUAAUCGUAAUGGUUGAAACAAAUGAUAUGUUUUUGUUCACUUCAUGAUAUACUUUUGUGUUGAAUAUUGUAUUAUUUCUUAA